CUAAGAAUCUUCCGCAAUGGGCGAAAGCCUGACGGAGCGACGCCGCGUGGGUGAAGAAGGCCGAGAGGUUGUAAAGCCCUUUUCUGCAUGAGGAAUAAGCGUGGGAGGGAAUGCCCGCGUGAUGACGGUAGUGCAGGAAUAAGCCCCGGCCAAUUACGUGCCAGCAGCCGCGGUAACACGUAUGGGGCGAGCGUUGUUCGGAAUCAUUGGGCGUAAAGGGCGCGCAGGCGGCUGCGCAAGCCUGGUGUGAAAGACCGCAGCUUAACUGCGGAUACGCGCUGGGAACUGUGUGGCUUGAGUUCCGGAGGGGAAGCUGGAAUUCCUGGUGUAGGGGUGAAAUCUGUAGAUAUCAGGAAGAACAUCAGCGGCGAAGGCGAGCUUCUGGCCGUGAACUGACGCUGAGGCGCGAAAGCGUGGGGAGCGAACAGGAUUAGAUACCCUGGUAGUCCACGCCGUAAACGUUGUGCACUAGGUGUUAGACCGCUUGAAGGUUUAGUGCCGUAGCUAACGCGUUAAGUGCACCGCCUGGGGAGUAUGCCCGCAAGGGUG
RNAcentral lists this ribosomal RNA (549 nucleotides) under uncultured bacterium. RNAcentral's name for it is "bacterial SSU rRNA". It matches the Rfam family "Bacterial small subunit ribosomal RNA", at positions 355 to 896 of the family's 1533-position model. The record is from RNAcentral.